AUUGAACGCUGGCGGCAGGCCUAACACAUGCAAGUCGAGCGGAUGAAGGGAGCUUGCUCCUGGAUUCAGCGGCGGACGGGUGAGUAAUGCCUAGGAAUCUGCCUGGUAGUGGGGGAUAACGUCCGGAAACGGGCGCUAAUACCGCAUACGUCCCGAGGGAGAAAGUGGGGGAUCUUCGGACCUCACGCUAUCAGAUGAGCCUAGGUCGGAUUAGCUAGUUGGUGGGGUAAAGGCCUACCAAGGCGACGAUCCGUAACUGGUCUGAGAGGAUGAUCAGUCACACUGGAACUGAGACACGGUCCAGACUCCUACGGGAGGCAGCAGUGGGGAAUAUUGGACAAUGGGCGAAAGCCUGAUCCAGCCAUGCCGCGUGUGUGAAGAAGGUCUUCGGAUUGUAAAGCACUUUAAGUUGGGAGGAAGGGCAGUAAGUUAAUACCUUGCUGUUUUGACGUUACCAACAGAAUAAGCACCGGCUAACUUCGU
RNAcentral lists this ribosomal RNA (483 nucleotides) under uncultured bacterium. RNAcentral's name for it is "partial 16S ribosomal RNA". It matches the Rfam family "Bacterial small subunit ribosomal RNA", at positions 30 to 506 of the family's 1533-position model. The record is from RNAcentral.